GCAAGUCGAACGCGAAAGUGGCUUCGGUCAUGAGUAGAGUGGCGGACGGGUGAGUAACGCGUAGGGAUCUGCCUCUAGGCGGGGGACAACUCGGGGAAACUCGGGCUAAUACCGCAUAAUGUUUUCGAACCAAAGGGUGCCUCUGCUUGCAAGCAUUCACCUAGAGAUGAACCUGCGUAUGAUUAGCUAGUUGGUGGGGUAAAGGCCUACCAAGGCGACGAUCAUUAGCUGGUCUGAGAGGAUGAUC
RNAcentral lists this ribosomal RNA (247 nucleotides) under uncultured bacterium. Its description in RNAcentral is "partial 16S ribosomal RNA". It matches the Rfam family "Bacterial small subunit ribosomal RNA", at positions 57 to 305 of the family's 1533-position model. The record is from RNAcentral.